AGUGAACGCUGGCGGUAGGCCUAACACAUGCAAGUCGAACGGCAGCGCAGUAAGAGCUUGCUCUUACGGGUGGCGAGUGGCGGACGGGUGAGGAAUACAUCGGAAUCUACUUUUUCGUGGGGGAUAACGUAGGGAAACUUACGCUAAUACCGCAUACGACCUACGGGUGAAAGCAGGGGAUCUUCGGACCUUGCGCGAUUGAAUGAGCCGAUGUCGGAUUAGUUAGUUGGCGGGGUAAAGGCCCACCAAGGCGACGAUCCGUAGCUGGUCUGAGAGGAUGAUCAGCCACACUGGAACUGAGACACGGUCCAGACUCCUACGGGAGGCAGCAGUGGGGAAUAUUGGACAAUGGGCGCAAGCCUGAUCCAGCCAUACCGCGUGGGUGAAGAAGGCCUUCGGGUUGUAAAGCCCUUUUGUUGGGAAAGAAAAGCAGCAGGUUAAUACCCCGCUGUUCUGACGGUACCCAAAGAAUAAGCACCGGCUAACUUCGUG
Molecule: ribosomal RNA, 492 nt
Filed under: uncultured bacterium
Lineage: Bacteria
Description: partial 16S ribosomal RNA
Rfam family: Bacterial small subunit ribosomal RNA
Source: RNAcentral